Molecule: ribosomal RNA, 497 nt
Filed under: uncultured bacterium
Lineage: Bacteria
Description: partial 16S ribosomal RNA
Rfam family: Bacterial small subunit ribosomal RNA
Source: RNAcentral
GAUGAACGCUGGCGGCGUGCCUAAUACAUGCAAGUCGAGCGAACAGACGAGGAGUUUGCUCCUCUGACGUUAGCGGCGGACGGGUGAGUAACACGUGGAUAACCUACCUAUAAGACUGGGAUAACUUCGGGAAACCGGAGCUAAUACCGGAUAAUAUAUUGAACCGCAUGGUUCAAUAGUGAAAGACGGCUUUGCUGUCACUUAUCGAUGGAUCCGCGCCGCAUUAGCUAGUUGGUAAGGUAACGGCUUACCAAGGCAACGAUGCGUAGCCGACCUGAGCGGGUGAUCGGCCACACGGGAGCUGGGACACGGUCAAGGCUCCUGCGAGAGGCAGCAGUAGCGAAUCUUCCGCAGUGGGCGAAAGCCUGGCGGAGCAACGCGGCGUGAGUGAUAAAGGUCUUCGGAUCGUAAAGCUCUGUUAUGAGGUAAAAACAAAUGUGUAAGUAACUGUGCACGUCUUGACGGUACCUAAUCAGAAAGCCACGGCUAACUACGUG